RNAcentral lists this non-coding RNA (29 nucleotides) under Mus musculus (house mouse). Lineage: Eukaryota; Metazoa; Chordata; Mammalia; Rodentia; Muridae. The record is from RNAcentral.
UGCACCGUACUGCCCAGAGGCUUCGAGGU